RNAcentral lists this ribosomal RNA (465 nucleotides) under Vreelandella stevensii. Its description in RNAcentral is "partial 16S ribosomal RNA". It matches the Rfam family "Bacterial small subunit ribosomal RNA", at positions 338 to 795 of the family's 1533-position model. Lineage: Bacteria; Pseudomonadati; Pseudomonadota; Gammaproteobacteria; Oceanospirillales; Halomonadaceae. The record is from RNAcentral.
CCUACGGGGCGCAGCAGUGGGGAAUAUUGGACAAUGGGCGAAAGCCUGAUCCAGCCAUGCCGCGUGUGUGAAGAAGGCCUUCGGGUUGUAAAGCACUUUCAGUGGGGAAGAAAGCCUUGGGGCUAAUACCCUCGAGGAAGGACAUCACCCACAGAAGAAGCACCGGCUAACUCCGUGCCAGCAGCCGCGGUAAUACGGAGGGUGCGAGCGUUAAUCGGAAUUACUGGGCGUAAAGCGCGCGUAGGCGGUCUGAUAAGCCGGUUGUGAAAGCCCCGGGCUCAACCUGGGAACGGCAUCCGGAACUGUCAGGCUAGAGUGCAGGAGAGGAAGGUAGAAUUCCCGGUGUAGCGGUGAAAUGCGUAGAGAUCUGGAGGAAUACCAGUGGCGAAGGCGGCCUUCUGGACUGACACUGACGCUGAGGUGCGAAAGCGUGGGUAGCAAACAGGAUUAGAUACCCCUGUAGUC